GACGAACGCUGGCGGCGUGCUUAACACAUGCAAGUCGAACGGUGAAGCGCCUUCCUUUUUGGUGGGUGUGGAUGAGUGGCGAACGGGUGAGUAACACGUGAGUAACCUGCCCCCUUCUUCUGGAUAACCGCAUGCAAGUGUGGCUAAUACGGGAUAUUCUGGGUCUGUCGCAUGAUGGGUCUGGGAAAGAUAUUGUUUCGGUGGGGGAUGGGCUCGCGGCCUAUCAGCUUGUUGGUGGGGUGAUGGCCUACCAAGGCGGUGACGGGUAGCCGGCCUGAGAGGGUGGACGGUCACACGAGGACUGAGACGCGGCCCAGACUCCUACGGGAGGCAGCAGUGGGGAAUAUUGCACAAUGGGCGCAAGCCUGAUGCAGCGACGCCGCGUGAGGGAUGGAGGCCUGCGGGUUGUGAACCUCUUUCGCCAGUGAAGCAGGCCUGCCUCGUUUGUGGGUGGGUUGACGGUAGCUGGAUAAGAAGCGCCGGCUAACUACGUG
RNAcentral lists this ribosomal RNA (494 nucleotides) under uncultured bacterium. Its description in RNAcentral is "partial 16S ribosomal RNA". It matches the Rfam family "Bacterial small subunit ribosomal RNA", at positions 28 to 507 of the family's 1533-position model. The record is from RNAcentral.